This 270-nucleotide ribosomal RNA is filed under the name uncultured archaeon. RNAcentral's name for it is "partial 16S ribosomal RNA". It matches the Rfam family "Archaeal small subunit ribosomal RNA", at positions 477 to 747 of the family's 1478-position model. The record is from RNAcentral.
CAGCACCUCAAGUGGUCAGGAUGAUUAUUGGGCCUAAAGCAUCCGUAGCCGGCGCUGUAAGUUUUCGGUUAAAUCUGUACGCUCGACGUACAGGCUGCCGGGAAUACUGCAGCGCUAGGGAGUGGGAGAGGUAGACGGUACUCGGUAGGAAGGGGUAAAAUCCUUUGAUCUAUUGAUGACCACCUGUGGCGAAGGCGGUCUACCAGAACACGUCCGACGGUGAGGGAUGGAAGCUGGGGGAGCAAACCGGAUUAGAUACCCGAGUAGUCC